CGUGAACCUUUACUAUAGCUUGACACUGAACAUUGAGCCUUGAUGUGUAGGAUAGGUGGGAGGCUUUGAAGUGUGGACGCCAGUCUGCAUGGAGCCGACCUUGAAAUACCACCCUUUAAUGUUUGAUGUUCUAACGUGGACCCGUGAUCCGGGUUGCGGACAGUGUCUGGUGGGUAGUUUGACUGGGGCGGUCUCCUCCUAAAGAGUAACGGAGGAGCACGAAGGUUGGCUAAUCCUGGUCGGACAUCAGGAGGUUAGUGCAAUGGCAUAAGCCAGCUUGACUGCGAGCGUGACGGCGCGAGCAGGUGCGAAAGCAGGUCAUAGUGAUCCGGUGGUUCUGAAUGGAAGGGCCAUCGCUCAACGGAUAAAAGGUACUCCGGGGAUAACAGGCUGAUACCGCCCAAGAGUUCAUAUCGACGGCGGUGUUUGGCACCUCGAUGUCGGCUCAUCACAUCCUGGGGCUGAAGUAGGUCCCAAGGGUAUGGCUGUUCGCCAUUUAAAGUGGUACGCGAGCUGGGUUUAGAACGUCGUGAGACAGUUCGGUCCCUAUCUGCCGUGGGCGCUGGAGAACUGAGGGGGGCUGCUCCUAGUACGAGAGGACCGGAGUGGACGCAUCACUGGUGUUCGGGUUGUCAUGCCAAUGGCACUGCCCGGUAGCUAAAUGCGGAAGAGAUAAGUGCUGAAAGCAUCUAAGCACGAAACUUGCCCCGAGAUGAGUUCUCCCUGACCCUUUAAGGGUCCUGAAGGAACGUUGAAGACGACGACGUUGAUAGGCCGGGUGUGUAAGCGCAGCGAUGCGUUGAGCUAACCGGUACUAAUGAACCGUGAGGCUUAACCUU
This 839-nucleotide ribosomal RNA is filed under the name Escherichia coli. RNAcentral describes it as "partial 23S ribosomal RNA". It matches the Rfam family "Bacterial large subunit ribosomal RNA", at positions 2092 to 2925 of the family's 2925-position model. Lineage: Bacteria; Pseudomonadati; Pseudomonadota; Gammaproteobacteria; Enterobacterales; Enterobacteriaceae. The record is from RNAcentral. RNAcentral also lists the same sequence under 2 other names.